RNAcentral lists this ribosomal RNA (1370 nucleotides) under Chryseobacterium sp. BK34. RNAcentral's name for it is "bacterial SSU rRNA". It matches the Rfam family "Bacterial small subunit ribosomal RNA", at positions 62 to 1440 of the family's 1533-position model. The record is from RNAcentral. Lineage: Bacteria; Pseudomonadati; Bacteroidota; Flavobacteriia; Flavobacteriales; Weeksellaceae.
CCGAGCGGUAGAGAUUCUUCGGAAUCUUGAGAGCGGCGUACGGGUGCGGAACACGUGUGCAACCUGCCUUUAUCAGGGAGAUAGCCUUUCGAAAGGAAGAUUAAUACCCCAUAAUAUAUUAAGUGGCAUCACUUGAUAUUGAAAACUACGGUGGAUAGAGAUGGGCACGCGCAAGAUUAGAUAGUUGGUGAGGUAACGGCUCACCAAGUCUACGAUCUUUAGGGGGCCUGAGAGGGUGAUCCCCCACACUGGUACUGAGACACGGACCAGACUCCUACGGGAGGCAGCAGUGAGGAAUAUUGGACAAUGGGUGAAAGCCUGAUCCAGCCAUCCCGCGUGAAGGACGACGGCCCUAUGGGUUGUAAACUUCUUUUGUAUAGGGAUAAACCUAGAUACGUGUAUCUAGCUGAAGGUACUAUACGAAUAAGCACCGGCUAACUCCGUGCCAGCAGCCGCGGUAAUACGGAGGGUGCAAGCGUUAUCCGGAUUUAUUGGGUUUAAAGGGUCCGUAGGCGGAUCUGUAAGUCAGUGGUGAAAUCUCACAGCUUAACUGUGAAACUGCCAUUGAUACUGCAGGUCUUGAGUGUUGUUGAAGUAGCUGGAAUAAGUAGUGUAGCGGUGAAAUGCAUAGAUAUUACUUAGAACACCAAUUGCGAAGGCAGGUUACUAAGCAACAACUGACGCUGAUGGACGAAAGCGUGGGGAGCGAACAGGAUUAGAUACCCUGGUAGUCCACGCCGUAAACGAUGCUAACUCGUUUUUGGAUUUUCGGAUUCAGAGACUAAGCGAAAGUGAUAAGUUAGCCACCUGGGGAGUACGUUCGCAAGAAUGAAACUCAAAGGAAUUGACGGGGGCCCGCACAAGCGGUGGAUUAUGUGGUUUAAUUCGAUGAUACGCGAGGAACCUUACCAAGGCUUAAAUGGGAAAUGACAGGUUUAGAAAUAGACUUUUCUUCGGACAUUUUUCAAGGUGCUGCAUGGUUGUCGUCAGCUCGUGCCGUGAGGUGUUAGGUUAAGUCCUGCAACGAGCGCAACCCCUGUCACUAGUUGCCAUCAUUAAGUUGGGGACUCUAGUGAGACUGCCUACGCAAGUAGAGAGGAAGGUGGGGAUGACGUCAAAUCAUCACGGCCCUUACGCCUUGGGCCACACACGUAAUACAAUGGCCAGUACAGAGGGCAGCUACACAGCGAUGUGAUGCAAAUCUCGAAAGCUGGUCUCAGUUCGGAUUGGAGUCUGCAACUCGACUCUAUGAAGCUGGAAUCGCUAGUAAUCGCGCAUCAGCCAUGGCGCGGUGAAUACGUUCCCGGGCCUUGUACACACCGCCCGUCAAGCCAUGGAAGUCUGGGGUACCUGAAGUCGGUGACCGUAAC